CACGUAGGGGGCGAGCGUUGUCCGGAUUUAUUGGGCGUAAAGAGCUCGUAGGCGGCUCGUUGCGUCGGCUGUGAAAACCCGCAGCUCAACUGUGGGCUUGCAGCUGAUACGGGCGGGCUGGGAUUCGGUAGGGGAGACUGGAAUUCCUGGUGUAGCGGUGAAAUGCGCAGAUAUCAGGAGGAACACCGGUGGCGAAGGCGGGUCUCUGGGCCGAUAUCGACGCUGAGGAGCGAAAGCGUGGGGAGCGAACAGG
Molecule: ribosomal RNA, 253 nt
Filed under: uncultured bacterium
Lineage: Bacteria
Description: partial 16S ribosomal RNA
Rfam family: Bacterial small subunit ribosomal RNA
Source: RNAcentral